RNAcentral lists this ribosomal RNA (475 nucleotides) under uncultured Hyphomonas sp. Its description in RNAcentral is "bacterial SSU rRNA". It matches the Rfam family "Bacterial small subunit ribosomal RNA", at positions 383 to 876 of the family's 1533-position model. The record is from RNAcentral. Lineage: Bacteria; Pseudomonadati; Pseudomonadota; Alphaproteobacteria; Hyphomonadales; Hyphomonadaceae.
CUGAUGCAGCCAUGCCGCGUGAAUGAUGAAGGCCUUAGGGUUGUAAAAUUCUUUCGCUAGGGAUGAUAAUGACAGUACCUAGUAAAGAAGCCCCGGCUAACUUCGUGCCAGCAGCCGCGGUAAUACGAAGGGGGCUAGCGUUGUUCGGAAUUACUGGGCGUAAAGCGCACGUAGGCGGACUUUUAAGUCAGAUGUGAAAUCCCGGGGCUCAACCUCGGAACUGCAUUUGAAACUGGAAGUCUAGAGACCAGGAGAGGUUAGCGGAAUACCGAGUGUAGAGGUGAAAUUCGUAGAUAUUCGGUGGAACACCAGUGGCGAAGGCGGCUAACUGGACUGGUACUGACGCUGAGGUGCGAAAGUGUGGGGAGCAAACAGGAUUAGAUACCCUGGUAGUCCACACCGUAAACGAUGAGAGCUAGUUGUUGGCAGGCAUGCCUGUCGGUGACGCAGCUAACGCAUUAAGCUCUCCGCCUGG